This 442-nucleotide ribosomal RNA is filed under the name uncultured bacterium. Its description in RNAcentral is "partial 16S ribosomal RNA". It matches the Rfam family "Bacterial small subunit ribosomal RNA", at positions 338 to 795 of the family's 1533-position model. The record is from RNAcentral.
CCUACGGGUGGCAGCAGUAGGGAAUCUUUCACAAUGGGCGAAAGCCUGAUGGAGCAACGCCGCGUGCAGGAUGAAGGCCUUCGGGUUGUAAACUGCUUUUAUAAGCGAGAAAUAUGAUGGUAACUUAUGAAUAAGGAUCGGCUAACUACGUGCCAGCAGCCGCGGUCAUACGUAGGAUCCGAGCAUUAUCCGGAGUGACUGGGUGUAAAGAGUUGCGUAGGUGGCAUAAUAAGUAGCUAGUGAAAUCUGGUGGCUCAACCAUUCAGACUAUUAGCUAAACUGUUAAGCUCGAGACCGUUAGGGGUAACUGGAAUUUCUAGUGUAGGAGUGAAAUCCGUAGAUAUUAGAAGGAACACCAAUAGCGUAGGCAGGUUGCUGGGACGGUUCUGACACUAAGGCACGAAAGCGUAGGGGGCAAACGGGAUUAGAUAUCCCUGUAGUC